RNAcentral lists this transfer RNA (73 nucleotides) under Syntrichia caninervis. RNAcentral describes it as "tRNA-Lys (TTT) (tRNA-Lys-TTT-6-1)". It matches the Rfam family "tRNA". From Rfam's summary of the family: Transfer RNA (tRNA) molecules are approximately 80 nucleotides in length. RNAcentral also lists the same sequence under 7 other names. Lineage: Eukaryota; Viridiplantae; Streptophyta; Bryopsida; Pottiales; Pottiaceae. The record is from RNAcentral.
GGGCCUGUAGCUCAGCUGGCAGAGCAUCGGACUUUUAAUCCGCGGGUCGUGGGUUCGAGCCCCACCGGGCCCA